This 274-nucleotide ribosomal RNA is filed under the name uncultured bacterium. Its description in RNAcentral is "partial 16S ribosomal RNA". It matches the Rfam family "Bacterial small subunit ribosomal RNA", at positions 523 to 796 of the family's 1533-position model. The record is from RNAcentral.
AUACGAACCGUACGAACGUUAUUCGGAAUCACUGGGCUUAAAGAGUGCGUAGGCGGCUUGGAAAGUUGGGUGUGAAAUCCCUCGGCUCAACCGAGGAAUUGCGCCCAAAACUGUCAAGCUUGAGGGAGAUAGAGGUAAGCGGAACUAAUGGUGGAGCGGUGAAAUGCGUUGAUAUCAUUAGGAACACCUGAGGCGAAAGCAGCUUACUCGGUCUCUUCUGACGCUGAGGCACGAAAGCUAGGGGAGCGAACGGGAUUAGAUACCCUAGUAGUCC